RNAcentral lists this ribosomal RNA (482 nucleotides) under uncultured bacterium. Its description in RNAcentral is "partial 16S ribosomal RNA". It matches the Rfam family "Bacterial small subunit ribosomal RNA", at positions 28 to 523 of the family's 1533-position model. The record is from RNAcentral.
AGUGAACGUUGGCGGCGUGGAUUAGGCAUGCAAGUCGAGCGAGAACCGUAGCAAUACGGGGACAGCGGCGAAAGGGACAGUAAUGUGUAGGUACCUACCCCGGGGUCUGGGAUAGCUGCGGGAAACUGCAUGUAAUACCGGAUAAUGUCCUCGGACCAAAGGUGUGAUUCCACCUUGGGAGGGGCCUGCAUCGUAUUAGCUUGUUGGCGGGGUAACGGCGCACCAAGGCAACGAUGGGUAGUGGGUGUGAGAGCACGACCCGGGUCAUUGGGGCUGAGAUACUGCCCAGACGCCUACGGGUGGCUGCAGUCGAGGAUCUUCGGCAAUGGGCGAAAGCCUGACCGAGCGACGCCGCGUGCGGGAUGAAGGCCUUCGGGUUGUAAACCGCUGUCGUAGAGGAGGAAAUGCAGGGGGGUUCUCCCUUCUGUUUGACCUAUUCUAGGAGGAAGGACGGGCUAAGUUCGUGCCAGCAGCCGCCGUAA